GACAGAGGGUGCAAACGUUGUUCGGAAUUACUGGGCGUAAAGCGCGUGUAGGCGGCCCUGCAAGUCGGAUGCGAAAUCCCACGGCUCAACCGUGGAAGUGCAUUCGAAACUGCAGGGCUUGAGUCCUGGAGAGGAAGGUGGAAUGCUUGGUGUAGAGGUGAAAUUCGUAGAUAUCAAGCGGAACACCGGUGGCGAAGGCGGCCUUCUGGACAGUGACUGACGCUGAGACGCGAAAGCGUGGGGAGCAAACAGG
RNAcentral lists this ribosomal RNA (253 nucleotides) under uncultured bacterium. RNAcentral's name for it is "partial 16S ribosomal RNA". It matches the Rfam family "Bacterial small subunit ribosomal RNA", at positions 524 to 776 of the family's 1533-position model. The record is from RNAcentral.